This 807-nucleotide ribosomal RNA is filed under the name uncultured bacterium. RNAcentral's name for it is "bacterial SSU rRNA". It matches the Rfam family "Bacterial small subunit ribosomal RNA", at positions 8 to 796 of the family's 1533-position model. The record is from RNAcentral.
AGAGUUUGAUCCUGGCUCAGGACGAACGCUGGCGGCAUGCCUAAUACAUGCAAGUCGAACGCUGAAGCACUCUGCUUGCAGAGUGCGGAUGAGUGGCGAACGGGUGAGUAACACGUGGGAAAUCUGCCUAGGAGUGGGGGAUAACAUUCGGAAACGGAUGCUAAUACCGCAUAUCUUUUUGAACCGCAUGGUUCUUAAACGAAAGACGGCUUCGGCUGUCGCUCUUAGAUGAUCCCGCGGCGUAUUAGUUAGUUGGUGGGGUAAAGGCCUACCAAGACCAUGAUACGUAGCCGACCUGAGAGGGUGAUCGGCCACACUGGGACUGAGACACGGCCCAGACUCCUACGGGAGGCAGCAGUAGGGAAUCUUCCACAAUGGGUGAAAACCUGAUGGAGCAAUGCCGCGUGAAUGAAGAAGGUCUUCGGAUCGUAAAGUUCUGUUAUUAGAGAAGAACAAGUCAAGGAGUAACUGUCUUGACUUUGACGGUACCUAACCAGAAAGUCACGGCUAACUACGUGCCAGCAGCCGCGGUAAUACGUAGGUGACAAGCGUUGUCCGGAAUUAUUGGGCGUAAAGGGAGCGCAGGCGGUUGGAAUAGUCUGAUGUGAAAGCCCACGGCUUAACCGUGGAAGGUCAUUGGAAACUGUCCAACUUGAAUACAGAAGAGGUAAGUGGAAUUCCAAGUGUAGCGGUGAAAUGCGUAGAUAUUUGGAGGAACACCAGUGGCGAAGGCGACUUACUGGUCUGUAAUUGACGCUGAGGCUCGAAAGCGUGGGUAGCAAACAGGAUUAGAUACCCUGGUAGUCC